Molecule: long non-coding RNA, 446 nt
Organism: Brassica rapa (field mustard)
Lineage: Eukaryota; Viridiplantae; Streptophyta; Magnoliopsida; Brassicales; Brassicaceae
Source: RefSeq, a predicted model, not a curated record
CGCAGACUUUGUCUUCUCUUUUUCAGAUGAAAGGGAGAUAAAAGUUCAAGCGGCGGAGAAUGGGUUUAAGCACAAGGGUUUUGUCAAGUCUCCCCUAUACGACGUCGUUUACUGACUGGGCUUUAGUUUGUUAGUUAAUUCGCGUGAAUGAGAAAGCCUUAUUUAUAGGCCCAUUAUUAUAAUCAAACGACUUAUUUAUAGGCCCAUUAACUUAGAUAGUAGUCAUAGUACUUAUGGAGAUAGACAAUAUUAUAAAGAGCUUCUUCUCACAAACUCUUUUAAGUCCACUCGCUACAAGCAACAAAAAUAUUCCAAGUUCAACAACAACAAUAACAAUGAUACUACUAUAAGAAGAGCAAACCAUACAAGACCCGAAUCGGGAAUUCAACAAUCCAACAAGUAAAAAAUAAGCAGAGGGAAAAGAUUUAAAACGAACAAACCAACAA